Molecule: small nuclear RNA, 106 nt
Filed under: Castor canadensis (American beaver)
Lineage: Eukaryota; Metazoa; Chordata; Mammalia; Rodentia; Castoridae
Source: RNAcentral
GUGCUUGCUUAGGCAGCACAUAUUCUAAAGCUGGAACAAACAGAGAAGGUUAGCAUGAUCCCUCCAUAAGGAUGACACGCAAAUUCAUGAAGUGUUCCAUUUUUUU